GCGGAGGUUCCCCUAGUCAGGUCAACGGGGUCGGACUGAGGUGCCGGCGAAAAGGUUCAAUUCCCUCCCUCCGCA
This 75-nucleotide transfer RNA is filed under the name Candidatus Bathyarchaeota archaeon. RNAcentral describes it as "tRNA-Leu". Lineage: Archaea; Thermoproteati; Candidatus Bathyarchaeota. The record is from RNAcentral.